This 564-nucleotide ribosomal RNA is filed under the name uncultured bacterium. RNAcentral's name for it is "partial 16S ribosomal RNA". It matches the Rfam family "Bacterial small subunit ribosomal RNA", at positions 357 to 909 of the family's 1533-position model. The record is from RNAcentral.
UGGGAAUUUGGACAAUGGGCGAAAGCCUGAUCCAGCAAUGCCGCGUGUGUGAAGAAGGCCUUCGGGUUGUAAAGCACUUUUGUCCGGAAAGAAAUCCUUGGCUCUAAUACAGUCGGGGGAUGACGGUACCGGAAGAAUAAGCACCGGCUAACUACGUGCCAGCAGCCGCGGUAAUACGUAGGGUGCAAGCGUUAAUCGGAAUUACUGGGCGUAAAGCGUGCGCAGGCGGUUUGCUAAGACCGAUGUGAAAUCCCCGGGGCUCAACCUGGGAACUGCAUUGGUGACUGGCAGGCUAGAGUAUGGCAGAGGGGGGUAGAAUUCCACGUGUAGCAGUGAAAUGCGUAGAGAUGUGGAGGAAUACCGAUGGCGAAGGCAGCCCCCUGGGCCAAAUACUGACGCUCAUGCACGAAAGCGUGGGGAGCAAAACAGGAUUAGAUACCCUGGUAGUCCACGCCCUAAAACCGAUGUCAACUAGUUGUUGGGGAUUCAUUUCCUUAGUAACGUAGCUAACGCGUGAAGUUGACCGCCUGGGGAGUACGGUCGCAAGAUUAAAACUCAAAGGAA